RNAcentral lists this transfer RNA (73 nucleotides) under Fasciola hepatica (liver fluke). It matches the Rfam family "tRNA". From Rfam's summary of the family: Transfer RNA (tRNA) molecules are approximately 80 nucleotides in length. Their secondary structure includes four short double-helical elements and three loops (D, anti-codon, and T loops). Further hydrogen bonds mediate the characteristic L-shaped molecular structure. tRNAs have two regions of fundamental functional importance: the anti-codon, which is responsible for specific mRNA codon recognition, and the 3' end, to which the tRNAs corresponding amino acid is attached (by aminoacyl-tRNA synthetases). tRNAs cope with the degeneracy of the genetic code in two manners: having more than one tRNA (with a specific anti-codon) for a particular amino acid; and 'wobble' base-pairing, i.e. permitting non-standard base-pairing at the 3rd anti-codon position. Lineage: Eukaryota; Metazoa; Platyhelminthes; Trematoda; Plagiorchiida; Fasciolidae. The record is from Rfam by way of RNAcentral.
ACCACGACGGCUCAGUUGGUAGAGCAUCUUCACGGUAUACGGAGGGUCGCCGGUUCGAUUCCGGCUCGUGGCA